GUGUGUGAAGAAGGCCCUCGGGUUGUAAAGCACUUUCAGCGAGGAAGAACGCCUAGCGGUUAAUACCCGCUAGGAAAGACAUCACUCGCAGAAGAAGCACCGGCUAACUCCGUGCCAGCAGCCGCGGUAAUACGGAGGGUGCAAGCGUUAAUCGGAAUUACUGGGCGUAAAGCGCGCGUAGGUGGCUUGAUAAGCCGGUUGUGAAAGCCCCGGGCUCAACCUGGGAACGGCAUCCGGAACUGUCAAGCUAGAGUGCAGGAGAGGAAGGUAGAAUUCCCGGUGUAGCGGUGAAAUGCGUAGAGAUCGGGAGGAAUACCAGUGGCGAAGGCGGCCUUCUGGACUGACACUGACACUGAGGUGCGAAAGCGUGGGUAGCAAACAGGAUUAGAUACCCUGGUAGUCCACGCCGUAAACGAUGUCGACCAGCCGUUGGGUGCCUAGCGCACUUUGUGGCGAAGUUAACGCGAUAAGUCGACCGCCUGGGGAGUACGGCCGCAAGGUUAAAACUCAAAUGAAUUGACGGGGGCCCGCACAAGCGGUGGAGCAUGUGGUUUAAUUCGAUGCAACGCGAAGAACCUUACCUACUCUUGACAUCCUGCGAAUUUGGUAGAGAUACCUUAGUGCCUUCGGGAACGCAGAGACAGGUGCUGCAUGGCUGUCGUCAGCUCGUGUUGUGAAAUGUUGGGUUAAGUCCCGUAACGAGCGCAACCCUUGUCCUUAUUUGCCAGCGCGUAAUGGCGGGAACUCUAAGGAGACUGCCGGUGACAAACCGGAGGAAGGUGGGG
Molecule: ribosomal RNA, 785 nt
Filed under: Vreelandella aquamarina
Lineage: Bacteria; Pseudomonadati; Pseudomonadota; Gammaproteobacteria; Oceanospirillales; Halomonadaceae
Description: bacterial SSU rRNA
Rfam family: Bacterial small subunit ribosomal RNA
Source: RNAcentral